GAUGAACGCUAGCUGCAGGCUUAACACAUGCAAGUCGCGGGGCAGCAUGGGGCUUGCUUGCAAUCCCCGCUGCCGACCGGUGCAUGGGUGAGUAACGCGUAUCCAACCUGCCCUUCACCACGGGGUAACCGGGCGCAAGUCGGGCUAAUACCGUAUGUUGUCCAUUGACGGCAUCCGAUUUGGCCGAAUGGCUUGGCGGCGAAGGUCGGGGUUGCGUCCGAUUAGCUGGACGGCGGGGCAAGGGCCCACCGUGGCGACGGUCGGAGUGGGUUCUGAGGGGAAGGUCCCCCACACUGGAGCUGAGGCACGGUCCAGACUCCUACGGGGGGCAGCAGUGAAGAAUAUUAUGCGAUGGGCGUAAGCCUGAACCAGCCAAGUAGCGGGCAGAAUGACGGCCCUAUGAGUGGUAAACUGCUUUUAUGGGAGGAUAAAAUGGCACUCGUGUGGUGUUUUGCAGUUACCGCAUGAAUAAGGACCGGCUAAUUCCGUG
RNAcentral lists this ribosomal RNA (490 nucleotides) under uncultured bacterium. RNAcentral's name for it is "partial 16S ribosomal RNA". It matches the Rfam family "Bacterial small subunit ribosomal RNA", at positions 28 to 507 of the family's 1533-position model. The record is from RNAcentral.